Molecule: long non-coding RNA, 519 nt
Organism: Pelodiscus sinensis (Chinese soft-shelled turtle)
Lineage: Eukaryota; Metazoa; Chordata; Testudines; Trionychidae
Source: RefSeq, a predicted model, not a curated record
CGGACAUAUGAAUUCACUGCUGGAUCAAGGUGGAGAAACUGGCAAUGAAAGUAUUCUGAUUCAAACACUUAUCUGAAAUUUGAAAGGUAGUACAGUGGGCCCAACGGAAGUGUGAACUGACAGAGGACCGGCAGACAGGAACUUCUGAACUGCAAACCUACACAGUGACAGUGAUUCCCGCUUUGGCCUUGGUUCAGUGAAAUCUUUCUUCCUCAGUUUCCUCCCAUAUAACUCACAGAGUACUCCCAGUCAUCUCAGCGAGAACUGAGCAUGCUCCCCACUUUAGAGGCUCAAACCUAUUCAUCAAAGAAUGUCCCGUUUGCUGUCACUGCUUGAGUUAAGCUUGCAGCCUAGGUAGGUCACUGGUUUCCAUGGUACUUGAACCCACCUGCAGUGAAAAUUCUGGUCGUCCAGCUCUAAGGUUCUGGUCCUUGGACUUCUAAUACCAGAUGUUCAACCCCAGCGACUUGGAGAGUGGGGCUGAAUUGUUCUGACGUCUCCACAAACAGGAUAUUGUCA